AUUGAACGCUGGCGGCAGGCCUAACACAUGCAAGUCGAACGGUAACAGGAAGAAGCUUGCUUCUUUGCUGACGAGUGGCGGACGGGUGAGUAAUGUCUGGGAAACUGCCUGAUGGAGGGGGAUAACUACUGGAAACGGUAGCUAAUACCGCAUAACGUCGCAGGACCAAAGAGGGGGACCUUCGGGCCUUUUGCCAUCGGAUGUGCCCAGAUGGGAUUAGCUAGUAGGUGGGGUAACGGCUCACCUAGGCGACGAUCCCUAGCUGGUCUGAGAGGAUGACCAGCCACACUGGAACUGAGACACGGUCCAGACUCCUACGGGAGGCAGCAGUGGGGAAUAUUGCACAAUGGGCGCAAGCCUGAUGCAGCCAUGCCGCGUGUAUGAAGAAGGCCUUCGGGUUGUAAAGUACUUUCAGCGGGGAGGAAGGGAGUAAAGUUAAUACCUUUGCUCAUUGACGUUACCCGCAGAAGAAGCACCGGCUAACUCCGUG
Molecule: ribosomal RNA, 490 nt
Filed under: uncultured bacterium
Lineage: Bacteria
Description: partial 16S ribosomal RNA
Rfam family: Bacterial small subunit ribosomal RNA
Source: RNAcentral